GACGAACGCUGGCGGCGUGCUUAACACAUGCAAGUCGAACGGAAAGGCCUGCUUUCCCUUGUGGAUUGCGGGUACUCGAGUGGCGAACGGGUGAGUAACACGUGAGUGAUCUGCCCCCAACUUGGGUAUAAGCCUGGGAAACUGGGUCUAAUUCCCGAUAGGACUGCAGGGUGGUGCCUGUGGUGGAAAACGAUUUUCUAGUGGUUGGGGAUGAGCUCGCGGCCUAUCAGCUUGUUGGUGGGGUAAUGGCCUACCAAGGCGGCGACGGGUAGCCGGCCUGGGAGGGGGGACGGCCACAUUGGGACUGGGAUACGGCCCAGACUCCUACGGGAGGCAGCAGUGGGGAAUAUUGCACAAUGGGCGGAAGCCUGAUGCAGCGACGCCGCGUGGGGGAUGACGGCCUUCGGGUUGUAAACUCCUUUCGACCGCGAGGAAGCCACCUGGUUGGAAGGGUGGCGACGGUAGUGGUAGAAGAAGCACCGGCUAACUACGUG
This 494-nucleotide ribosomal RNA is filed under the name uncultured bacterium. Its description in RNAcentral is "partial 16S ribosomal RNA". It matches the Rfam family "Bacterial small subunit ribosomal RNA", at positions 28 to 507 of the family's 1533-position model. The record is from RNAcentral.